ACGUGUCCAUGGACGUUCCACCGUGGCCGGGAGGGAACCACGUCACACACGUUCUCCCCCACCUUGAUGCUGGCAUCUGACACGUGUCCGUGGACAUUCCACCGUGGCCGGGAGGGGGCCGUUCCCGAAGCAUAACCCCCUGUGGGAACGUCGCCCUCUGACACUUGUCUGAGGAGCUGCCCCAUGGCCUGGCUGCCCUCUUGCGGGGAGGUCUUCUGGGGAGAACACGCAUGGGGCAGUGCCACCUGCCCAUCUAGGACACACAUGUCCAGCUGCACAUGAGUGUCCUCCCACUGGGGCUGCCCCUCACUGCCCAAGCCACCUCCCGUGGACUGAAGGGGCCCUGGGAAAGCUGAGGUGGCCACAGCUGGCCUCAGGAUGGUUCUGAAAUCGUAUUCCUGUGGCCCAGAGGGCCCUGUGCCCACCGCUGCAGACGGAGCCGGGGGAGGCAGGUCGGAGCCAAUGGUCUGCAGCGCCUCCUCCAGGACAAGAGCUGAGCCGGUGUGCAAAGGCUGCUCAGCCCCCUGGGCUGUGGGCAGGAAGUCUCGGAUGCUGAGGCCCACAGACAACAGCCCUGGAUCCUCCACCGGAUCCAACAGCAGGCCUGCUCCUGGCCCAGAGCCACAGGCCGCCUCUGCUGGAGACUCGGGCAGCUGUGGCAUCAGCCUGCUCGGCCCACGGGGACCAUCCCGGGCAGCCUUGGGCUGCUCUGCAGGCCCAGAACCACAGCCGCCACCUCCGUCUGGGUGCUCGGGGCACGGAAGGGAGGCCUGAAACACAAGUGCACCUUGGUUCCUCCUGUUCCCUGCUCUGUCCCCGACUUCAGUCCCCUACACCAGAAUGCAUGAUGGGGGCAGUGGGGACACAGGCCCAGCCCCCAGCCUGGGAGCAGCUCUCACCUGGGAGCAGGCACCUGGGAGGACGGCCAGCGGCUCCGGGGGCUUCCCCUCAGACACAGCUCCCAGCAUCCCCUGAAAACCGACCAGCAGGAUGAGAGGCAGCAGCGUCCCCACCGCCCACGACUGCUACGCCCCCCCCACAGGGCAGCUUGCGCAGUGCUUUGCUGCAGCCUGGCCAGCACCCGGCACCACCUCUUCCCGGUCACAGCACCGACAAGCGACGACAACAGCACCACCCACCCCUCCUCGAGGGCAUGCGGGCAGGUCUGUGCAUGGCACCAGGGGGUCCGGAGUUCCUGAGAGCAGAGCGGAGAGCUCCCAACUGCAGCUGUGGCAUCACCUGAACACGCUUCUCCUCCUCUAAGAGAAAGCGACGCCGAGCGUCCGCCAGCCUGUGCCUCUGGACCCUCCACAGCGCCUUCCGCUCCCGACGAGCAGCCUCUGCGGACAACUUGCUAUAAUGAUCCACCAGCGCCUGCCUGCAACCACACACAGGACUGGUCACCGUGGUCAGCCCACUGUGCAGCCAGUGCCCCAGGGGCUGGACAGCUCUUGGUGGCACAGGCCUCCGACAGGCAGCCCACAUGCUUGGCACCUUCCCAGGCCCCCUCAACACCUGCAGGUCUCUCUGCCCCUGGCACAGCAGGUGUCUGCUGAGUGACUACCAGACUGAGCUCCUACAUAGCGUGACGGAAGGGACUGGUGAGGGGCUGGGAGCUGCCCAGGCCUUCUAGGAGUCAGGCCUUGCUCCUCAGCUGCAGCUGUAAUUUGAAAAGAUACCUGUAUUCUAAUAUUCCCUGCAGCACUAUUCACAAUAGCUAAGACAUGGAAGCAACCUGAGCAGAGGAGUGGAUAAAGAGGAUAUGGUACAGGAGCUCCCGUCAUGGCGCAGCGGUUAACAAAUGAGGUUGCGGGUUCAAUCCCUGGCCUUCCUCAGUGGGUUAAAGAUCCGGCGUUGCCGUGAGCUGUGGUGUAGGUCACAGAUGGGGCUCAGAUCUGGUGUUGCCGUGGCUGUGGCAUAGGCCAGCAGCUACAGCUCCGAUUAGACCCCUAACCUGGCAACCUCCAUGUGCCGUGGGUGCAGCCCUAAAAAGACAAAAAAAGGAUAUGGUACACACACACAAGGGAAUAUUAUUCAGCCACUAAAAAGAAUGAAACGAUACCAUCUAUAGCAACAUGGAUGGACCUAGGUGUUGUCGUACUCAGUGAAGUAAGCCAGAAAGAAAAAAACAAACACUGUAUUCUAUCACUUAUAUGUGGAAUCAAAAAUAUGACACAGGAGUCCCCGCUGUGGCACUACAGGAUCAGUGG
RNAcentral lists this long non-coding RNA (2210 nucleotides) under Sus scrofa (pig). RNAcentral's name for it is "lncRNA (ENSSSCG00015019522.1)". Lineage: Eukaryota; Metazoa; Chordata; Mammalia; Artiodactyla; Suidae. The record is from RNAcentral.